RNAcentral lists this ribosomal RNA (497 nucleotides) under uncultured bacterium. RNAcentral's name for it is "partial 16S ribosomal RNA". It matches the Rfam family "Bacterial small subunit ribosomal RNA", at positions 28 to 507 of the family's 1533-position model. The record is from RNAcentral.
GAUGAACGCUGGCGGCGUGCCUAAUACAUGCAAGUCGAGCGAACGGACGAGAAGCUUGCUUUUCUGAUGUUAGCGGCGGACGGGUGAGUAACACGUGGAUAACCUACCUAUAAGACUUGGAUAACUUCGGGAAACCGGGGCUAAUACCGGAUAAUAUUUUGAACCGCAUGGUUCAAAAGUGAAAGACGGUCUUGCUGUCACUUAUAGAUGGAUCCGCGCUGCAUUAGCUAGUUGGUAAGGUAACGGCUUACCAAGGCAACGAUGCAUAGCCGACCUGAGAGGGUGAUCGGCCACACUGGAACUGAGACACGGUCCAGACUCCUACGGGAGGCAGCAGUAGGGAAUCUUCCGCAAUGGGCGAAAGCCUGACGGAGCAACGCCGCGUGAGUGAUGAAGGUCUUCGGAUCGUAAAACUCUGUUAUUAGGGAAGAACAUAUGUGUAAGUAACUGUGCACAUCUUGACGGUACCUAAUCAGAAAGCCACGGCUAACUACGUG